GAUGAACGCUAGCGGCAGGCUUAAUACAUGCAAGGCGAGGGGGCAGCAAUGUCACCGUCGUACGGGUGCGUAACGCGUAUGCAACCUACCUUCAACUGGGGGAUAGCCCGGGGAAACCCGGAUUAAUACCGCAUGACACAUUGGUAUAGCAUUAUAUUAAUUGUUAAAAGAUUUAUUGGUUGAAGAUGGGCAUGCGUUCG
RNAcentral lists this ribosomal RNA (200 nucleotides) under uncultured bacterium. RNAcentral's name for it is "partial 16S ribosomal RNA". It matches the Rfam family "Bacterial small subunit ribosomal RNA", at positions 28 to 239 of the family's 1533-position model. The record is from RNAcentral.